This 432-nucleotide ribosomal RNA is filed under the name uncultured bacterium. RNAcentral's name for it is "partial 16S ribosomal RNA". It matches the Rfam family "Bacterial small subunit ribosomal RNA", at positions 29 to 506 of the family's 1533-position model. The record is from RNAcentral.
AACGAACGCUGGCGGCAUGCCUAACACAUGCAAGUCGAACGAGACCUUCGGGUCUAGUGGCGCACGGGUGCGUAACGCGUGGGAACCUGCCCUUAGGUUCGGAAUAACUCCCCGAAAGGGGUGCUAAUACCGGAUAAUGUCUUCGGACCAAAGAUUUAUCGCCUUUGGAUGGGCCCGCGUUGGAUUAGCUAGUUGGUAGGGUAAAAGCCUACCAAGGCGACGAUCCAUAGCCGGUCUGAGAGGAUGAUCAGCCACACUGGGACUGAGACACGGCCCAGACUCCUACGGGAGGCAGCAGUGGGGAAUAUUGGACAAUGGGCGAAAGCCUGAUCCAGCAAUGCCGCGUGAGUGAUGAAGGCCUUAGGGUUGUAAAGCUCUUUUACCCGGGAUGAUAAUGACAGUACCGGGAGAAUAAGCUCCGGCUAACUCCGU